Molecule: ribosomal RNA, 438 nt
Filed under: uncultured bacterium
Lineage: Bacteria
Description: partial 16S ribosomal RNA
Rfam family: Bacterial small subunit ribosomal RNA
Source: RNAcentral
AACGGACGCUGGCGGCAUGCCUAACACAUGCAAGUCGAACGAAGGCUUCGGCCUUAGUGGCGCACGGGUGCGUAACGCGUGGGAAUCUGCCCUUUGCUUCGGAAUAACAGUUAGAAAUGACUGCUAAUACCGGAUGAUGUCGCAAGGCCAAAGAUUUAUCGGUUGAGGAUGAGCCCGCGUAGGAUUAGCUAGUUGGUGGGGUAGUGGCCUACCAAGGCGACGAUCCUUAGCUGGUCUGAGAGGAUGAUCGGCCACACUGGGACUGAGACACGGCCCAGACUCCUACGGGAGGCAGCAGUGGGGAAUAUUGCACAAUGGGCGGAAGCCUGAUGCAGCAACGCCGCGUGCGGGAUGACGGCCGUCGGGUUGUAAACCGCGUUCGCCUGUGACGAAGCGUGAGUGACGGUAAUGGGUAAAGAAGCACCGGCUAACUACGUG